CUCUCCGUGGCCUAAUGGAUAAGGCGUCUGACUUCGGAUAAGAAGAUUGCGGCUUCCAGUCCCGUCGGGGUCA
This 73-nucleotide transfer RNA is filed under the name Trichobilharzia regenti. It matches the Rfam family "tRNA". From Rfam's summary of the family: Transfer RNA (tRNA) molecules are approximately 80 nucleotides in length. Their secondary structure includes four short double-helical elements and three loops (D, anti-codon, and T loops). Further hydrogen bonds mediate the characteristic L-shaped molecular structure. tRNAs have two regions of fundamental functional importance: the anti-codon, which is responsible for specific mRNA codon recognition, and the 3' end, to which the tRNAs corresponding amino acid is attached (by aminoacyl-tRNA synthetases). tRNAs cope with the degeneracy of the genetic code in two manners: having more than one tRNA (with a specific anti-codon) for a particular amino acid; and 'wobble' base-pairing, i.e. permitting non-standard base-pairing at the 3rd anti-codon position. Lineage: Eukaryota; Metazoa; Platyhelminthes; Trematoda; Strigeidida; Schistosomatidae. The record is from Rfam by way of RNAcentral.